RNAcentral lists this ribosomal RNA (497 nucleotides) under uncultured bacterium. Its description in RNAcentral is "partial 16S ribosomal RNA". It matches the Rfam family "Bacterial small subunit ribosomal RNA", at positions 28 to 507 of the family's 1533-position model. The record is from RNAcentral.
GAUGAACGCUGGCGGCGUGCCUAAUACAUGCAAGUCGAGCGAACAGACGAGGAGUUUGCUCCUCUGACGUUAGCGGCGCACGGGAGUGAAACAUGUGGAUAAUCCACCUAAAAGAGGGGUAUAAUCUCGGAAAAGCGGCUCAUACCGCGGAUAAUAUAUUGAACCGUAUGGUUCAAUAGAGAAAGACGGUUUUGCUGGCACUUAUAGAUGGAUCCGCGCCGCAUUAGCUAGUUGGUAAGGUAACGGCUUACCAAGGCGACGAUGCGUAGCCGACCUGAGAGGUGGUCCGCCAACACGGGACCUGGAACCCGCUCAAUACUCCUACGGAAGGCAGCAGAAGGGAAUCUUCGGCAAUGGGCGAAAGCCUGCCGGAGCAACGCGGCGUAGGUGAUAAAGCCUUUGGGUUCGUAAGCCCCGGUUUUUGGGGAGAAACAGAUUUGUACGUAACUGUGGACGUCUUGACGGUACCUAAUCAGAAAGCCACGGCUAACUACGUG